Molecule: long non-coding RNA, 1035 nt
Filed under: Numida meleagris (helmeted guineafowl)
Lineage: Eukaryota; Metazoa; Chordata; Aves; Galliformes; Numididae
Description: lncRNA (ENSNMEG00000004262.1)
Source: RNAcentral
CAUCACGACCCCUCUGGGUGCAAAACGGGGUAAAAUGGUGCGAAAUCGGUGCAAACGGGCGCUGUGUCCGCAGGGGGCCAUGGAGGAGCGGCGCCAGGAGGGUCCCGGCGGCGGGGGCACCCGUGGGGGCCACCAAGAUGGCGCCCGUGGUGGCCACCAAGAGGUCGUCCAUAGGGACAAGCAAGAUGGUGGCUGUGGGGGCAACCAAGAUGGCGGCCGUGGGGACAACCAAGAUGGCGGCCACGGGGACAAGCAAGAUGGCAGCUACAGGGACAACCAAGAUGGCGGCCACAGGGACAACCAAGAUGGCGGCCACAGGGACAACCAAGACGGUGGCCAUGGGGACAACCAAGAUGGCGACCGUGGUGGCCACCAAGAUGUCACCCAUGGCCACGAUGUCACCCGUGGGGGCCACCAAGAGCACACCCAUGGGGGCCACCAAGAUGGCGACCGUGGCGGCCACCACGACGUCACCCGUGGCCACGGUGUCACCGAUGGGAGCCGCCAAGAUGUCACCCGUGAUGGCCACCGAGAGGACAGCCCCGGCGACGACCCGCUGCCACCGCCCCACAAGAAGUCGCGGCGCCGCCAGCGCUGUCCCACCCCCGUGUCACCGAGUGUCACCGCCACCAGGUCCCGGAGCAGGGCCAGAGCUGUCACCUCCAUCCGUGGUGUCACCUCCGCCGGUGUCACCUCCGCCGGUGUCACCUCCACCAGGUCCAGAGGUGCCGUUGUCACCGCGUCGGUCCCAGAUGCCACCGCCGCACCUGGGGAGGUCACCGCCGCGAGGAGCACCUCCGGAACACCCCAAAGCGUCACCGUCACCCGGUCCAGGGGUGUCACCGUCACCCGGUCCCGAGGUGUCACCGUCACCCGGUCGCGAGGCGCCGCCACCACCAGGGCCGCGUCCAAAGCCACCGGAGGAGCCACCACCGCCACGGACGCCUCCGAAACCACCGUCGGCGCGGUGACAACCACCAGAGGUACAACCGGCGGCACUACCGGCCGGGUGACAACCACCAGAGGUACAACCGG